This is a long non-coding RNA of Manacus vitellinus (golden-collared manakin), 896 nucleotides long. RefSeq lists it as uncharacterized. The record is from RefSeq and is a predicted model, not a curated record. NCBI's taxonomy places the organism in Eukaryota, Metazoa, Chordata, Aves, Passeriformes, Pipridae. The transcript has 3 exons.
AAUAAUAAUCAUUCACUGAAUGUCAAAUUUAAGUUCAUUAUUAAUUAUAUUCCCAUUCUGAUUCCUCCUGAAAAAUGCCAAAAUGAGAAAUCUGCCCAGGAAAGAGAACAGAAAAGGCAGAAAGGUGACAUUAGAAGUGAAGAGGAGGAAGAAGAACAAGAGCAGAAAUGGAAAAGGAAAGAGAAGUAGGAACAAAUGGAAAAAGUGAAGGUAGAUCUGGAAAAGGAACAACAGAGGAGAUGGAAGAGAUGUGGCCAUGCACAUGCAUCCAAACCUAUCAAUGUUCCAGCAUGAAGAAACAUAGAUAACAACAAAACAUCUUCUAAUAUAACAGAAGACUAACAACACAGCGUGUGAAGGAGCCAGCAAACUGAUCCAGCACUGCCAGGCAAAUUCUAAACUAAAGUAUAACAUCACAGAUCUUUUAAUCUGAAAUAGUUUACAGAAACAGAAACUAGAAGAAGAGUGGAGGUGCCAUGAGGAGGAGGUGGCAGCAAAGAAGUCAUAAUUAGAGAAAACAGCACAAGAACGUAUUUGGCAGCAGCAGGAUUAUCACAGGAAGCUUCUGCAGUUCCAGAAGAAGCAACAGUUAGAGGAACAUGGAGCAGCAGAUGGUCUGUAGAAAGGCUAAUGCUUACUUUAGUUGCAGAUAAUUCUUCAGAAUGGAUGAUUUCUGGUAAAGACAUAGACAGCCUGCGUGUGUCUGCCUUGAGAUUCACGUGACACUAAGUCCCACACUUACAGUACCUCAGCUGCUCCUCAGUUAAACAGGUAUGGUAACAAUAGUCCUCUCUGCCACAGUCCCUGCAGCCUGAAAAAAAGAGAAAUUCCACAGCCUAGCUAUGAUGCAACCAUGAAGAUGCUAGCAAUAACAAUGUUUGUGCUACAUCUCUUCA